GACCCUCUUAGAAAAUGAGAAUUUAUUUUUCUGAAAAAUGAAAUCUUUCUUUAUCAUAAUCAUUGUUUGGGAUAAUUUUUGUUCUAGUUUUGAUUUUGAUUUCAGGAACCCACCUGGAGAACAGGGUGAGGAAAUUGUAAGUCGAGAGCCCACCCGGAGAACAGGGUGAUGAAAUUUCAGGUCGGGAGCCCACCUGAAGAAUAGGGUGAUAAAAUUAAGAAUUGGAAGCCCGUCCAAAG
This 239-nucleotide long non-coding RNA is filed under the name Capsicum annuum. RNAcentral describes it as "long non-coding RNA (CANN_LNC018618)". Lineage: Eukaryota; Viridiplantae; Streptophyta; Magnoliopsida; Solanales; Solanaceae. The record is from RNAcentral.